This 447-nucleotide ribosomal RNA is filed under the name uncultured bacterium. RNAcentral describes it as "partial 16S ribosomal RNA". It matches the Rfam family "Bacterial small subunit ribosomal RNA", at positions 29 to 523 of the family's 1533-position model. The record is from RNAcentral.
AACGAACGCUGGCGGCAGGCUUAACACAUGCAAGUCGAACGCCCCGCAAGGGGAGUGGCAGACGGGUGAGUAACACGUGGGAACGUGCCCUAAGGUUCGGAACAGCUCCGGGAAACUGGAGCUAAUACCGAAUGUGUCCGUAAGGAGAAAGAUUUAUCGCCUUAGGAUCGGCCCGCGUCAGAUUAGCUAGUUGGUGGGGUAAUGGCCUACCAAGGCGACGAUCUGUAGCUGGUCUGAGAGGACGACCAGCCACACUGGGACUGAGACACGGCCCAGACUCCUACGGGAGGCAGCAGUGGGGAAUCUUGGACAAUGGGCGCAAGCCUGGUCCAGCCAUGCCGCGUGGAUGAUGAAGGCCCUAGGGUUGUAAAAUCCUUUCGUUGGGGACGAUAAUGACGGUACCCAAAGAAGAAGCUCCGGCUAACUUCGUGCCAGCAGCCGCCGUAA